AUUGAACGCUGGCGGCAGGCCUAACACAUGCAAGUCGAGCGGAUGAAGGGAGCUUGCUCCUGGAUUCAGCGGCGGACGGGUGAGUAAUGCCUAGGAAUCUGCCUGGUAGUGGGGGAUAACGUCCGGAAACGGGCGCUAAAACCGCAUACGUCCUGAGGGAGAAAGUGGGGGAUCUUCGGACCUCACGCUAUCAGAUGAGCCUAGGUCGGAUUAGCUAGUUGGUGGGGUAAAGGCCUACCAAGGCGACGAUCCGUAACUGGUCUGAGAGGAUGAUCAGUCACACUGGAACUGAGACACGGUCCAGACUCCUACGGGAGGCAGCAGUGGGGAAUAUUGGACAAAGGGCGAAAGCCUGAUCCAGCCAUGCCGCGUGUGUGAAGAAGGUCUUCGGAUUGUAAAGCACUUUAAGUUGGGAGGAAGGGCAGUAAGUUAAUACCUUGCUGUUUUGACGUUACCAACAGAAUAAGCACCGGCUAACUUCGUG
This 484-nucleotide ribosomal RNA is filed under the name uncultured bacterium. Its description in RNAcentral is "partial 16S ribosomal RNA". It matches the Rfam family "Bacterial small subunit ribosomal RNA", at positions 30 to 507 of the family's 1533-position model. The record is from RNAcentral.